AGAGUUUGAUCCUGGCUCAGAUUGAACGCUGGCGGCAGGCCUAACACAUGCAAGUCGAGCGGUAACAGGGGAAGCUUGCUUCUCGCUGACGAGCGGCGGACGGGUGAGUAAUGCCUGGGAAAUUGCCCAGUCGAGGGGGAUAACAGUUGGAAACGACUGCUAAUACCGCAUAAUCUCUCAGGAGCAAAGCAGGGGAACUUCGGUCCUUGCGCUAUCGGAUGAACCCAUAUGGGAUUAGCUAGUUGGUGAGGUAAUGGCUCACCAAGGCGACGAUCCCUAGCUGGUCUGAGAGGAUGAUCAGCCACACUGGGACUGAGACACGGCCCAGACUCCUACGGGAGGCAGCAGUGGGGAAUAUUGCACAAUGGGCGCAAGCCUGAUGCAGCCAUGCCGCGUGUAUGAAGAAGGCCUUAGGGUUGUAAAGUACUUUCAGUUGGGAGGAAGGCGUUGUGGUUAAUAACCGCAACGAUUGACGUUACUCGCAGAAGAAGCACCGGCUAACUCCGUGCCAGCAGCCGCGGUAAUUC
RNAcentral lists this ribosomal RNA (527 nucleotides) under uncultured bacterium. RNAcentral's name for it is "bacterial SSU rRNA". It matches the Rfam family "Bacterial small subunit ribosomal RNA", at positions 8 to 526 of the family's 1533-position model. The record is from RNAcentral.